CCUACGGGAGGCAGCAGUGGGGAAUAUUGGACAAUGGGCGAAAGCCUGAUCCAGCAAUGCCGCGUGAGUGAUGAAGGCCUUAGGGUCGUAAAGCUCUUUUACCAGGGAUGAUAAUGACAGUACCUGGAGAAUAAGCUCCGGCUAACUCCGUGCCAGCAGCCGCGGUAAUACGGAGGGAGCUAGCGUUGUUCGGAAUUACUGGGCGUAAAGCGUGCGUAGGCGGUUAUUCAAGUCAGAGGUGAAAGCCCGGGGCUCAACCCCGGAACGGCCUUUGAAACUAGAUAACUAGAAUCUUGGAGAGGUCAGUGGAAUUCCGAGUGUAGAGGUGAAAUUCGUAGAUAUUCGGAAGAACACCAGUGGCGAAGGCGACUGACUGGACAAGUAUUGACGCUGAGGUACGAAAGCGUGGGGAGCAAACAGGAUUAGAUACCCUGGUAGUCCACGCCGUAAACGAUGAUAACUAGCUGUCCGGACACUUGGUGUUUGGGUGGCGCAGCUAACGCAUUAAGUUAUCCGCCUGGGGAUACGGUCGCAAGAUUAAAACUUAAAUGAAAUUUGAACGG
This 563-nucleotide ribosomal RNA is filed under the name uncultured bacterium. RNAcentral describes it as "bacterial SSU rRNA". It matches the Rfam family "Bacterial small subunit ribosomal RNA", at positions 338 to 919 of the family's 1533-position model. The record is from RNAcentral.